AUUGAACGCUGGCGGCAUGCCUUACACAUGCAAGUCGAACGGCAGCAUGGGUGCUUGCACCUGAUGGCGAGUGGCGAACGGGUGAGUAAUGCAUCGGAACGUACCCGGAAGUGGGGGAUAACGUAGCGAAAGUUACGCUAAUACCGCAUAUUCUGUGAGCAGGAAAGCGGGGGAGUCGCAAGACCUCGCGCUUCCGGAGCGGCCGAUGUCGGAUUAGCUAGUUGGCGGGGUAAAGGCCCACCAAGGCAACGAUCCGUAGCGGGUCUGAGAGGAUGAUCCGCCACACUGGGACUGAGACACGGCCCAGACUCCUACGGGAGGCAGCAGUGGGGAAUUUUGGACAAUGGGCGCAAGCCUGAUCCAGCCAUGCCGCGUGAGUGAAGAAGGCC
RNAcentral lists this ribosomal RNA (389 nucleotides) under uncultured bacterium. Its description in RNAcentral is "bacterial SSU rRNA". It matches the Rfam family "Bacterial small subunit ribosomal RNA", at positions 29 to 416 of the family's 1533-position model. The record is from RNAcentral.